CGGUAUUUUGACCGUGCGAAGGUAGCGCAAUCACUUGUCUUUUAAAUGGAGACCUGUAUGAAUGGCAUAACGAGGGCUUAACUGUCUCCUCUUUCAAGUCAAUGAAAUUGAUCUUCCCGUGCAGAAGCGGGAAUACAAACAUAAGACGAGAAGACCCUAUGGAGCUUUAGACACUAAGGAGGGCCAUGUUAAACACCCUAAAUUAAAGGAUUAAACCACAAUGAACCCUACCCUAAUGUCUUUGGUUGGGGCGACCGCGGGGAAUUAAAUAACCCCCACGUGGAAUGGGAGAACCCCUCCUACAACUAAGAGCUACAGCUCUAGUAAACAGAACAUCUGACCAGUAAGAUCCGGCAAUGCCGAUCAACGGACCGAGUUACCCUAGGGAUAACAGCGCAAUCCUCUUUUAGAGCCCAUAUCGACAAGGGGGUUUACGACCUCGAUGUUGGAUCAGGACAUCCUAAU
This 465-nucleotide ribosomal RNA is filed under the name Zaniolepis latipinnis. RNAcentral's name for it is "partial 16S ribosomal RNA". It matches the Rfam family "Bacterial large subunit ribosomal RNA", at positions 1934 to 2551 of the family's 2925-position model. Lineage: Eukaryota; Metazoa; Chordata; Actinopteri; Perciformes; Zaniolepididae. The record is from RNAcentral.